This 253-nucleotide ribosomal RNA is filed under the name uncultured bacterium. Its description in RNAcentral is "partial 16S ribosomal RNA". It matches the Rfam family "Archaeal small subunit ribosomal RNA", at positions 474 to 727 of the family's 1478-position model. The record is from RNAcentral.
UACCAGCACCCCGAGUGGUCGGGACGAUUAUUGGGCCUAAAGCAUCCGUAGCCGGUUCUACAAGUCUUCCGUUAAAUCCACCUGCUUAACAGAUGGGCUGCGGAGGAUACUAUAGAGCUAGGAGGCGGGAGAGGCAAGCGGUACUCGAUGGGUAGGGGUAAAAUCCGUUGAUCCAUUGAAGACCACCAGUGGCGAAGGCGGCUUGCCGGAACGCGCUCGACGGUGAGGGAUGAAAGCUGGGGGAGCAAACCGG